UUAUUUUGUUAUAAUAAAAGACGUUCAUGACUGAGAUGUUUGUAAAAAGGUCCGGAGACCACGGUGCACAGGUGUAUGAAGGGAAAAGUGCUUGCGCACAUCUCUAAUGAUCCUUCCGCAGGUUCACCUACGGAAA
RNAcentral lists this unclassified non-coding RNA (136 nucleotides) under uncultured fungus. Its description in RNAcentral is "sequence contains ITS1". The record is from RNAcentral. Lineage: Eukaryota; Fungi.